Molecule: RNA transcript, 803 nt
Organism: Fragaria vesca subsp. vesca
Lineage: Eukaryota; Viridiplantae; Streptophyta; Magnoliopsida; Rosales; Rosaceae
Exons: 3
Source: RefSeq, a predicted model, not a curated record
UAAUCUACAAUGAUUUAAUCAAUUCUCUUUGCAAGAAGAAUGAUGCGGAACAAGCUCUUUCUUUGAUGGAGGACAUGAAAAAAAAGGGGGUGAGACCUAAUACCCAAACAUUCAAUGCCCUGUUCAAAGGCCUUAGAGAGAACAAUUUAUUAAAGAAGGCAUUUCAAUUUAUGGAUCAAAUGGUUGAAGAGGACUGUAAUCCUGAUUAUAUAACGAUGGAGAUUCUUACCGAAUGGCUUCCUGGUGUUGGUGAAAUAGAGAGGUUGAGAAAGUUUGCUCAAGGAUAUCCGGUUUCGGAGCCUCAGCCCCAACAGAAGGAUGGGAUAGUCGCAUUGUAAGAUGUUCAGGGAGAAAGCAUAAAUAUUGAUUAUGAUCUUCAAGCCAUUUUACAGUGGACAGGUGCUAGUUUACCAUUUCAGCACCCACAUCAUGCCAAGGGCUCAAGGUGACCCUGAAUUCUGUAAGCAGUUUGGACAAGUUGGAGAUGUCUGUAACAAAGCUCUAGGGUAAUUAAGGCUAGCUAGUGGAACGUUUCUGGGCGCUGCCCAUAGCCCGUACAAAACUAAUCCUGCUGAACUGCUGAAGCAGCCAAGAAGAUAGACACAAGCAAUUCAAGGUAACUGGGAAUAACCCAACCUAAUUUAUCUUUUAGGGUAAUUAAGGCUCAUCUGAGUGAAAAACCAUCUGGUCAAAAAUUGGAUUUCGAAAUAAAGGGUGGCACUGCAAAAAUGUGAAAUAUGAUUGUCUUCAUAAUAGUCAGUGUUAUCUUAGAAUAGUUUGAUGUAGCAGAAUGCCUCCUUCCU